AGAACAGACACGUGGCCCGCCCUGCUCCCCGGGCACUGGGCAGAUGGCGUGGCCGGAGCGGACCCUCCCCCCUGGGCCUGCCAGGGGCUGGGAGGCCACCUGUGAGCCAAGCACUUACUGAGACAGAGAGGAGUCCAGGCUGGAGCCUUCCAGGUGAAGCCUGGGGACGGAAUGGAGCGGACACAUCAACGCGGACGGACAGACAGACAGAGGGCCUGGACUCCUGGACCAGGAAGCCGAUGGCAGCAAGAGGCGGGCCCCACACAGGGCCACUGGCUGGACGACCUCUCCUGGGCUCCCCCGCCCUCUACGGGCCAUUGCACCCCCCGCCCUGCCCCUAGGCUUCCUGCUGACAAGACAGGCCAGUGCUUUUAGGGACCCCCCAGGGGCAACCCCUCUACUGGGCCAGCAACACACACCUGCUGCCCUUUGCGCGGCCUGGCCUAGGGCUCUA
Kogia breviceps (pygmy sperm whale) is the source of this 454-nucleotide non-coding RNA. NCBI's taxonomy places the organism in Eukaryota, Metazoa, Chordata, Mammalia, Artiodactyla, Physeteridae. The record is from RefSeq and is a predicted model, not a curated record.